Molecule: ribosomal RNA, 484 nt
Filed under: uncultured bacterium
Lineage: Bacteria
Description: partial 16S ribosomal RNA
Rfam family: Bacterial small subunit ribosomal RNA
Source: RNAcentral
AGUGAACGCUGGCGGCGUGCUUAACACAUGCAAGUCGAACGAGAACGGGUUAUAGCUUGCUAUAAUUGUCAGCUAAGUGGCGCACGGGUGAGUAAUGUAUAGGUAAUAUGCCUCUUACUAAGGGAUAACAAAUGGAAACGUUUGCUAAUACCUUAUACUCCUUAUUAACAGAAGUUAAUAAGGGAAAGAUUUAUUGGUAAGAGAUUAGCCUGUAUUGUAUCAGUUAGUUGGUGGGGUAAUGGCUUACCAAGACUAUGACACAUAACUGGUUUGAGGGGAUGAUCAGUCACACUGGAACUGAGACACGGUCCAGACUCCUACGGGAGGCAGCAGUGGGGAAUAUUGCACAAUGGACGAAAGUCUGAUGCAGCAACGCCGCGUGGAGGAUGACACAUUUCGGUGCGUAAACUCCUUUUAUAUGAGAAGAUAAUGACGGUAUUAUAUGAAUAAGCACCGGCUAACUCCGUGCCAGCCGCCGCCGCCG